Molecule: ribosomal RNA, 521 nt
Filed under: uncultured bacterium
Lineage: Bacteria
Description: bacterial SSU rRNA
Rfam family: Bacterial small subunit ribosomal RNA
Source: RNAcentral
AAUAGAUACCCCGGUAGUCCUAGCAGUAAACGGUGCACGUUUGGUGUGGGCAGGUUCAGACCCUGUCCGUGCCGGAGCUAACGCGUUAAACGUGCCGCCUGGGAAGUACGGUCGCAAGAUUAAAACUCAAAGAAAUUGACGGGGGCCCGCACAAGCGGUGGAGUAUGUGGCUUAAUUCGAUGCAACGCGAAGAACCUUACCUGGUCUUGACAUGCACUGUGUCAUCGGUGAAAGCCGGUUAGUUGGUAGCAAUAUCAACACUUUGCACAGGUGCUGCAUGGCUGUCGUCAGUUCGUGUCGUGAGAUGUUGGGUUAAGUCCCGCAACGAGCGCAACCCCUGUGUCCAGUUGCCCGCAAGGGAUCUCUGGACAGACUGCCCUGUGAAACGGGGAGGAAGGUGGGGAUGACGUCAAGUCAGUAUGGCCCUUACGGCCAGGGCUGCACACGUACUACAAUGCUCAGUACAGAAUGAACCGAAUCCGCGAGGUAGAGGAAAUCUCAAAAACUGAGCCCAGUUCGGA